GAGCCCAGUAUACGUGUCUUUUGUCAGCAAGGCCACCUUGUGGGAACGAGGACUCUGCCGCCAAACCGCCCACAAACGUCCAAACCACGGUCCCUUAUUGUGUCCACGGUUCUUGUCUCACAUGACCGCCCGCCCCGAGGACCUCAGGCCUCCUUGUGUCCCGAGCUCCGGGUCCAGACCGCUGCCCCCCCCUCGGGAGAAGACGGCGGUAACGCACGCCCUCGCUGCACCGAAGACACAAACGCUGGACGGUUUCUUCCGUCUCCAUCCAGACGGGAGAAGGAAAAGUGCGCCGAUGGCGGGAAGGCGCUCUGCUGCUGUUGUUGUUCCCUGUCCUCCACCCUCCGCUGCCCCACCGCCACGCACCGCCAACCCAACACCGCCCCGCCAAAACUCCCCGCACGGCGACUUCGAGAGGCGGCGAAGAAGCCGGUCGGCAUCUCCCUGCGACGAGCCACCUGCCCCGGGGGGGGGCGUUGAAGUCCGUGAGACGGCUCCGCGACCCGCCGCCGCGUCCCCCCACCCGGGCUGCCGGCUGCCUGCGGAGCCGAAUGGAUCGGAAGCGCCACCGCCGCCGGCGGCCUCCUCCUCCUCCUCCAUCUCACACGGGUCGCUCUCAGAUUUCAGCCGCCCACCGUCCAGCCGGUUCAGCCGCAGCACCGACCUCGCCAGCGGCCGGAGCAGCGUCCUGUCCGGCGCAGAUCUCGGAGACUCGGAGCCAGGAGGCGGCGUUUGCUCCUCACCGCUCCAGCCUCGCCCGGUGACGGGGUCACCCUCGGCUCCUCGCCCUCCGCCGGCAUCCCACCCUCGCCAACCAUCCGCCGAUGCUUCGGCCACCCCUCUCCUCUACGAACCGCUAUUUGGGCAAACCCGACCCCUCUCGCCGCCGUCGACGUCAGGUGGGCUUCGUCAAUCAGAUAACCCUCCGAGCAGGAGCGAAAGCCCCGAUGCGACAAAGUAUCUCCAACCAGUUCCAUCAGAAGCUCCUGGUCCCCACCCAUCCAUGGCCUCCGACCGCGGCCUCGUCGGCCUGGCUUUCCCCUCCGCCACCUGGUCCUCCUGCCCGAGUCCGCAGAGGACCACUCCCCGCUCCUCGGGGUCAGGACCGGCUCCGACCCCUCCUGCGUCGGCGCCCCGUCUGGAGUCUCGUCGCUGGUCCCCGCUGCCUCCCAUCUCCCCUGUCGGAGGACGCUGUGGCACCGCAGCAUCCCGCUACUCCGAGCUCAGCUGCACUCAGUCCCGCGCGUUCGAUGAGCUGGAGGCCAUCGCCCCUCGCUCGCUGUCCUCCCCGUCUCUGGACCGGCUGUCGGACUCCUCCGGGUGCCCUUCACCUGACACAGAGCUGUCUCCGGGCCUGGCGGCGCUGACGGUGGGCUGUGACUCCGGGACCCUGGGCUCUCUGUCCCGGGUGCAGCUGCUCCUCCUGGACCGGCCGCAGCCCGACACCCGGCCGGGUCUGUUCGGCCCGGAAGAGGAGCUCUCGCCGGUGCAAGACUGGCCUCGUCUCGCGAUGCAACAUGAAGGUGGCGUGAGGCCCCGCACAGCUGGCGGCGUCUCUGAAAGGUGUGACUCCGCAGGGAAAGUCCACGAAAACAAAUCGGUUCCAGCGGAGGGGAAGGGGGCCCCGCCGAGGAGGAGGAGGAGGCCAAUUAUCCGGGAUGGGGGCAACAAGUCGAAUCCUCAGCCGCAGGACGGAGGCCCGCGAGCCUUGAUGGCAGAAGUGAGGAGAGGAAGCGGAGGAUGGAGGAGAGGAAAACAAAGGUGCUGAGCUUGCUCUCCAAGCUGCAGGACGACGGGCCGCGGCAGCCAAAGGGCCACCGGAGCUGCUCCAACUUCCAGGACU
Molecule: long non-coding RNA, 1843 nt
Organism: Gasterosteus aculeatus aculeatus (three-spined stickleback)
Lineage: Eukaryota; Metazoa; Chordata; Actinopteri; Perciformes; Gasterosteidae
Source: Ensembl